UGGGGAAUAUUGGACAAUGGAGGCAACUCUGAUCCAGCAAUUCUGUGUGUGUGAAGAAGGUUUUAGGACUGUAAAACACUUUUAGUAGGGAAGAAAGAAAUGACGGUACCUACAGAAGAAGCGACGGCUAAAUACGUGCCCGCAGCCGCGGUAAUACGUAUGUCGCGAGCGUUAUCCGGAAUUAUUGGGCUUAAAGGGCAUCUAGGCGGUUAAACAAGUUGAAGGUGAAAACCUGUGGCUCAACCAUAGGCUUGCCUACAAAACUGUAUAACUAGAGUACUGGAAAGGUGGGUGGAACUACACGAGUAGAGGUGAAAUUCGUAGAUAUGUGUAGGAAUGCCGAUGAUGAAGAUAACUCACUGGACAGCAACUGACGCUGAAGUGCGAAAGCUAGGGGAGCAAACAGG
Molecule: ribosomal RNA, 407 nt
Filed under: Verrucomicrobiota bacterium
Lineage: Bacteria; Pseudomonadati; Verrucomicrobiota
Description: Verrucomicrobia bacterium partial 16S ribosomal RNA
Rfam family: Bacterial small subunit ribosomal RNA
Source: RNAcentral